Molecule: ribosomal RNA, 495 nt
Filed under: uncultured bacterium
Lineage: Bacteria
Description: bacterial SSU rRNA
Rfam family: Bacterial small subunit ribosomal RNA
Source: RNAcentral
GACGAACGCUGGCGGCGUGCCUAACACAUGCAAGUCGAACGGAGAGUUCAUUGAGGAGGCUUCGGCCAACGAGGUGAAUUUCUUAGUGGCGGACGGGUGAGUAACGCGUGAGCAAUCUGCCUUUCAGAGGGGGAUAACGUUCUGAAAAGAACGCUAAUACCGCAUAACGUAUUUGGGUGGCAUCAUCCGGAUACCAAAGGAGCAAUCCGCUGAAAGAUGAGCUCGCGUCUGAUUAGAUAGUUGGUGGGGUAACGGCCUACCAAGUCGACGAUCAGUAGCCGGACUGAGAGGUUGAACGGCCACAUUGGGACUGAGACACGGCCCAGACUCCUACGGGAGGCAGCAGUGGGGAAUAUUGCACAAUGGAGGAAACUCUGAUGCAGCCAUGCCGCGUGUGUGAAGAAGGCCUUCGGGUUGUAAAGCACUUUCGGUAGGGGAGGAACGAAAUGACGUUACCCUCAGAAGAAGCACCGGCUAACUCCGUAGCCAGCAGCC